Molecule: ribosomal RNA, 460 nt
Filed under: uncultured bacterium
Lineage: Bacteria
Description: partial 16S ribosomal RNA
Rfam family: Bacterial small subunit ribosomal RNA
Source: RNAcentral
CCUACGGGGGGCAGCAGUGAGGAAUAUUGGUCAAUGGACGAGAGUCUGAACCAGCCAAGUAGCGUGAAGGAUGACUGCCCUAUGGGUUGUAAACUUCUUUUAUAUGGGAAUAAAACGUUCCACGUGUGGGAUUUUGUAUGUACCAUAUGAAUAAGGAUCGGCUAACUCCGUGCCAGCAGCCGCGGUAAUACGGAGGAUCCGAGCGUUAUCCGGAUUUAUUGGGUUUAAAGGGAGCGUAGGUGGAUUGUUAAGUCAGUUGUGAAAGUUUGCGGCUCAACCGUAAAAGUGCAGUUGAAACUGGCAGUCUUGAGUACAGUAGAGGUAGGCGGAAUUCGUGGUGUAGCGGUGAAAUGCUUAGAUAUCACGAAGAACUCCGAUUGCGAAGGCAGUUCACUGGACUUCAACUGACACUGAGGCUCGAAAGUGUGGGUAUCAAACAGGAUUAGAUACCCGAGUAGUC